UACAGAGGGUGCAAGCGUUAAUCGGAAUUACUGGGCGUAAAGCGUGCGCAGGCGGCGCGUUAAGACAGGUGUGAAAGCCCCGAGCUUAACUUGGGAAUUGCGCUUGUGACUGGCGUGCUGGAGUGUGGCAGAGGGAGGUGGAAUUCCACGUGUAGCAGUGAAAUGCGUAGAGAUGUGGAGGAACACCGAUGGCGAAGGCAGCCUCCUGGGCCAGCACUGACGCUCAUGCACGAAAGCGUGGGGAGCGAACAGG
This 253-nucleotide ribosomal RNA is filed under the name uncultured bacterium. RNAcentral describes it as "partial 16S ribosomal RNA". It matches the Rfam family "Bacterial small subunit ribosomal RNA", at positions 524 to 776 of the family's 1533-position model. The record is from RNAcentral.